RNAcentral lists this unclassified non-coding RNA (202 nucleotides) under Hevea brasiliensis (rubber tree). Lineage: Eukaryota; Viridiplantae; Streptophyta; Magnoliopsida; Malpighiales; Euphorbiaceae. The record is from RNAcentral.
CAGAAUCACUGCAUAUUCAAGUUCAGAUAGCUCGUAUUCUCCUGUUGAUUUGCUCUGGCCAGAAGUUCAUCUCCCUGGGAUUAAGGCGGUGCAUUGGAGUAUUCAGGGGUAACCAAAAAGGAAGUUAAUUGACAUCACUUAUUUCCAAUCAUGUGCUAUUGAGUGCAUGAGUUUUUCUUUUUUUUUUUAAGCACAUAAAGAC